AGAGUUUGAUUAUGGCUCAGGAUGAACGCUAGCUACAGGCUUAACACAUGCAAGUCGAGGGGCUAGCAUUGGAGUAGCAAUACUUCAGAUGGCGACCGGCGCACGGGUGAGUAACACGUACUCCAACCUGCCGCUUACUCGGGGAUAGCCUUUCGAAAGAAAGAUUAAUACCCGAUGGUAUAAAGAGUUCGCAUGUUCUCUUUAUUAAAGAAUUUCGGUAAGCGAUGGGGAUGCGUUCCAUUAGAUAGUUGGCGGGGUAACGGCCCACCAAGUCUACGAUGGAUAGGGGUUCUGAGACGGAAGGUCCCCCACAUUGGAACUGAGACACGGUCCAAACUCCUACGGGAGGCAGCAGUGAGGAAUAUUGGUCAAUGGACGAGAGUCUGAACCAGCCAAAAGUAGCGUGAAGGAUGACUGCCCUAUGGGUUGUAAACUUUCUUUUAUAAGGGAAUAAAGUGAGGGACGUGUCCCUUUUUGUUAUGUACCUUAUGAAUAAGGAUCGGCUAACUCCGUGCCAGCCGCCGC
Molecule: ribosomal RNA, 525 nt
Filed under: uncultured bacterium
Lineage: Bacteria
Description: bacterial SSU rRNA
Rfam family: Bacterial small subunit ribosomal RNA
Source: RNAcentral